This 302-nucleotide long non-coding RNA is filed under the name Capsicum annuum. RNAcentral's name for it is "long non-coding RNA (CANN_LNC012170)". Lineage: Eukaryota; Viridiplantae; Streptophyta; Magnoliopsida; Solanales; Solanaceae. The record is from RNAcentral.
CGAGCCAAAGAUGCUAAGUAUGUUUUGUGAUAUUUAAUUCGUUUCAUAUCUUGGUCCAUGUCAUAUCCUCCAUCUUGAUACUCCUCUGAUCCAUACCCUGCAUGAAAUAUAUAUACAUAUACAUAUGAUUAUGUAUACCUAAUAAGUAUAGCUGCCUGAAAAAUUAAUAUAAUCUAUGAUUAAUUAGGAAAUUAAUAUUUACCAUUUUCAGUCACAUAUAUAGGUAUGUUAUUGUAUCUCUUCUUAACAUAAUCAACAAGCUCUUCCAUGCCUGGCGGAAAAACAUACAGUCCAGGUAUUCC